CAUGGGCCCUUUACGGGGAUGGGCUACACACGUGCUACAAUGGUGCAUACAGAGGGCAGCAAGCCAGCGAUGGUUAGCGAAUCUCAUAAAGUGCGCUCGUAGUCCGGAUCGGAGUCUGCAACUCGACUCCGUGAAGUCGGAAUCGUUAGUAAUCGUGGAUCAGAAUGCCACGGUGAAUACGUUCCCGGGCCUUGUACACACCGCCCGUCACACCAUGGGAGUGGGCUGCACCAGAAGUGGUUAGUUUAACCUUCGGGAGAACGAUCACCACGGUGUGGUUCAUGACU
This 287-nucleotide ribosomal RNA is filed under the name uncultured bacterium. RNAcentral's name for it is "partial 16S ribosomal RNA". It matches the Rfam family "Bacterial small subunit ribosomal RNA", at positions 1192 to 1476 of the family's 1533-position model. The record is from RNAcentral.